CAGCGCCGCGGUAAUACAGAGGGUGCGAGCGUUAAUCGGAUUUACUGGGCGUAAAGCGUGCGUAGGCGGCUUUUUAAGUCGGAUGUGAAAUCCCUGAGCUUAACUUAGGAAUUGCAUUCGAUACUGGGAAGCUAGAGUAUGGGAGAGGAUGGUAGAAUUCCAGGUGUAGCGGUGAAAUGCGUAGAGAUCUGGAGGAAUACCGAUGGCGAAGGCAGCCAUCUGGCCUAAUACUGACGCUGAGGUACGAAAGCAUGGGGAGCAAACAGGAUUAGAUACCCCAGUAGUCCCUGUCUCUUAUACA
RNAcentral lists this ribosomal RNA (301 nucleotides) under uncultured bacterium. RNAcentral's name for it is "partial 16S ribosomal RNA". It matches the Rfam family "Bacterial small subunit ribosomal RNA", at positions 509 to 808 of the family's 1533-position model. The record is from RNAcentral.